This is an RNA transcript of Oncorhynchus kisutch (coho salmon), 2795 nucleotides long. It is a transcript of the gene named F-box only protein 39 pseudogene, with no coding region annotated. NCBI's taxonomy places the organism in Eukaryota, Metazoa, Chordata, Actinopteri, Salmoniformes, Salmonidae. The record is from RefSeq and is a predicted model, not a curated record. The transcript has 2 exons.
UCCAUUAAAGUACAUUUUAAUAUUAGUUUACAAAUGUACAUAACUGAUUUACCAACAACAACAAAAAUAAUCUCUGUUAUGCACACACAAGGAGAUUAUAUUUUUUCAUAAUAGGUCCAAAUGCUGUGAGCGUUUUAUCUUCUCCUAUUGUGAUGUCACAAGGUGUCCCUUUGGUUUCACGGUAACAACAAUAAAAGCUAUGAAGGUUCCAGAGCUUCAGUUUUGGUGUCUAGUCAUUUCUUAGGUGACAAGUGGGACACAUUGAUGGCGACCCAACAGACACAAGCAUGUGUCCUCUGCUUCUCUGUGGUACAAGUUAACUCCAGAGUCACAUAGUAUACAUUUCAGACGACAGGCUAUUCAUCUUUACAUUUGGUGGAUGAAUAUUGAGAGACGUUAGUGGUUUGGCAACACUUCUUCCCUGUCAAUGGAUUACCCCGAGGAUCCAGAGGAACAGUUAUCGGAGAAUAAGAACGAAGAAGAGGGGGAGGAUAAAGGAAUAGAGAUAAUGGAUGAGGAAGAAGGCGAGAUGGAGGAAGAUAAAAAGCCUAAACUGGGCUGGGCUAAUCUCCCGGACGUGUGUCUGCGGCAGGUGUUCUGGUGGCUUCGUGACCGCGACCGUGUCAAGGCGGCCCUGGUGUGUCACCAUUGGCACCACGUUAUGUGCUCGCCCUCCCUCUGGAGGGUUCGAAACUUCAACUUCUCCGGCCGCAUCUCCAGGACCCGCCGUUCGGCGCUGGAGACGGCCGUGUGUUACGCCAAGACCUACGGCGCUUACCUGGAGGAUCUGGAGAUCCGCUUCUCCCACCCCCUCAACUCUCUGGUGGCCCGGCGCUUCCAGCAAACGCUGAGGACCUUCCUCGCCGCGCUGCGUAAAACCGGCGGCCGACUACGCCGCCUAACUGUCAACCACAUGGCGCUGGACCGCGCCGCCUGGUGCCGAAGUGUACGCAACUCCCUGGUGCGCAGCCUCGCCUUCUACCUGCGCCGUGAGGGCUCCCGCCUUGGCUACUUGAGCCUGCGGGGGGCCCGCCUCAACCUGCCCCAGGGCCUGGAGGUACUGGAAGCCGUGGCUGCAGCUCAGCAGCACAUCCACCUGGGACGCCGGCCCGGCAUCACCCACCUCAACCUGGAGGACUUCUUCUCACAGCCACUGGCCGUCUUCGUCAGCCCCGCCUUCCCCCAGGUCAUGAACCGCUUCCAGGGCCUCUGCACCCUGACCCUUAACUACAGCUGCCUGUCGGACGAGCUGCUGGCGGCCCUGUCCGCGGCAUGUAGGAGCCUGGGCGGGGGAGGGUCCCUGCAGACGUUCACCGUACGAUGCCAUAUCCACGAGCCCCACAUCCAGGUGGUCUGGGGGGAUGCCUGGUCCCAUCUGGCUCAGCAUUGUCCCGACCUUCGGGUGCAGAUCACAGUGGAGCGGAUCCUCGACGUGGACAAGCUGGGAAGGAUUCUGCUCAGAGAGAUCCCGCUGCGCUUGCUCAGUCUCACCAGCUGCUACUUCAGUGAACAGGACUGGAGUGCCAAGCCUGCCCUUACCAGCCUAGUGCCCUGCUACAGGAGCUGUUUACAGGUGACGAUUGGUAGCUCUACCCGUUGAUAUAUAUCCCCAAUUUGGAUGGAGUCUCCUCCUCCCUAAACAUAACUUCCUGCCUAGCAAUAAAGAUGUAAAGUGAUACAGGGAAUAAACUGUUCCUUCUCACUUAAUGUGACCUGACCUCGACCCCCUUCAUCACUAAUCUACGGCUCUCCACCCUUAUCAGCGCCUGCCGCGUGAUCUUUUCCCCAUGCACUCAGUACAUUCCUCCUACAUAUAACCACUAACUUCUGGUGUAAACCCUCGACUAUGGCACCCCUCAUGUCUCUAGCAUAACUAAUGAUUCAUAAUAUUUCAAGUUCAGAAAUCCGAACCCAUCACGGAGCAAUGAUGGCCCCGGCUUGUGUGGCGAUAAAGUAUGUGCAGUAUACAUACAGUUUAUUCAUGUACCCACAUUGCCUUUUUAUAGCCAUGCAGUUUAGACUAAUCCUAGUCCUGGAAUAAGAGAUUCUCCAUUGAGAAUGUGUUUUAUUCCAGGACUACGCUUAAUCUAUGUCAGGGAAACCGGCCCCAAGAGACAUGACUCUAAGGGAUGGAUUCAAUCCGUAUCGCAGAAGUCUCUCGGGAAACUUCAUGUUACAGCUCGAUUUAAAAUGAUAGGCAAUGUUCCCGCGUUACUGCAUCCACAGUAAACGCUACAUAUGUCCGCUCAAUUGGAAACGAUCUUCACAUUUUCACGCGGCUCUUCCCGCGAUAUGGAUUGAAUCCAGCCCUAAAUUGCCAAUAGGAAAGUCAGUGGCACUCCUUUAACGACAUGAAUCCGUGUUGUGAAUCUGUCUCCACCUCAAUUCCUUGGUGUAGAAAUUGACCCUGGACCUGAACAACAGCCACGAGUCUGUGGACGAGGAGCUGCUGGAGGUGGUGCUGCUGUGCAGCCGGCUGGUCUACCUGAAGGUCUGGGCCUUUCUGGACAUCAGCUUCCUGGACCGGCUGCUGCAGAAACGCCUGGAAAAGAAGACCAUCCUCAGGACCAUCAAGGUGCGCAUCUACACCAACAAAUAUGAGACUCAGGAUGAGGAUGGGCAGCUGGAGGAGGUGUACUCUCGCUACAGACAACUCAUCAACUCCGAGCUCCACUACCUCGCCAUCUCCUACCCCAUGCUCUGACUCCUGCCUAACAGACACAUGGGCCCAAAAAGACAGCUUUUUAUAUAUAUAUAUAACACCAUUUAAAGUAAGAGGAAGGAAACUUCAAUUU